CCUACGGGUGGCAGCAGUGAGGAAUAUUGGUCAAUGGGGGAAACCCUGAUGCAGCGAAGUCGCGUGAGGGAAGAAGGACCUAGGGAUGGAAAACUUUAUUAGCAGGGGAGAAAAUGACGGUACGUGAUUAAGAAGGUACGGCUAACUACGAGCAAGCAGCCGCGGUAAUACGUAGGGGGCAAGCGUUAUCCGGAUUUACUGGGUUUAAAGGGGGCGUAGACGGCAGCACAAGUCAGGAGUGAAAUGCCGCGGCUUAACCCGGGAAUUGCAUUGGAAACUGGGCAGCUAGAGUGCAGGAGAGGUAAGCGGAAUGCGUGGUGUAGCGGUGAAAUGCGUAGAUAUUACGAAGAACGCCGAUGGCGAAGGCAGCUUACUGGACUGUAACUGACGUUGAGGCUCGAAAGCGUGGGGAUCAAACAGGAUUAGAUACCCCUGUAGUC
RNAcentral lists this ribosomal RNA (440 nucleotides) under uncultured bacterium. RNAcentral describes it as "partial 16S ribosomal RNA". It matches the Rfam family "Bacterial small subunit ribosomal RNA", at positions 338 to 795 of the family's 1533-position model. The record is from RNAcentral.